GGAUAUAUGAAAUAGGAAUCUAAGAUUUGCCAACUAUGAUCAAAUGUCCAAACGAUUAAAGUGAAUUUUAAUUACUUUGCCUAGUUUUUAGGUUAUUGGCAACACAAACUAAAAUAAAAUUGGCAUGUCUAGACCACUAUUUUUUUGUUUGACGUAGUUUGGACCACUAUUUUUUUUCAAUCAAGUAAUUUAGUGACUAAAUUCACACACUUUAAAUAGAGAAUUGAUAAAAUCAAAGCUUAAACCAAGACCCUUACAAAGCUACCAACCGAGCUAUGUUUACGUUUAUGCACGUGAAAAGUUUACUAAAAAUAAUAAUGAACUUUCACAUUUUUCUUUGUUUCUAUGAACCUGUCUAGAUUAAUCAUACGAAUUGUACAUCUUUCUCAACAAAAAUUGUUAACAAUACAUGCAUUUACAAAUUCAACAGGUCAGUGAUCGUUAGAUUUAGAUCAAAUUAAUGGUUAGAUUUAGAUUUUUAAAAAAUUAAAAUACCAAACUUAAAAUCUAAACCGUUUAAUCUAAAAUCAGAUAGUCACCAACAUGCUGAAUUAGUGAAUGUUUGGAUUGGUGAGUGCAACAAAUCUAAGGGAAGCUAAUGAAGGAAAAGUGGUCUCAAGAAUCAAGAUACAUUAUCUCAUAAGUCAUAACAUAGAGCAAAACAAGGUGAUCUAAAACUUCAUCACCUAAUAAUUAAUAACAUAAAAAACUAAACAAAAUGAUGUAAAGACUAAUAAUUUACACACUAACCAGUAAUUAGUUGAUACAUUACACAUUACAUUUUACAAGUAAAGGAAUGAGGAGACAUGCAUAAUAAUAAUGCAAUGAAACUUAAAGAUGUUCUUCAAGGCCAAACAAAAUCCACACAAACCCUCGAUUCCAAUACACUCUCGUCAUCUUUCAGAGCUUCCUCAUCUUUCAACGAUUUUCUCUCAGCAGCAGAAGCACAUGAAGAAGUGGAAGAAGAGGGAGGAUAUGCAGCUAAUAAAGCUGUAGCAUUCCACUCAUGGUUCCUAACAAGUUCUGAAAAUAGAAGUAUCAGUGAAGCCAUAUUGCAAUUCAAAAAUUUCAAGAGAUUUGUAUAUAGUAGUUGAUGUUAAAUAAAAGUUGAUGGUUAAGAAAGAAAAUUUCAAAAGUUAUAUAUAGAGAAUGAAGGAAUAUAAAAGUGGUCACAGAUUGUGUGUUUUCUGUUAGCUGAAACAGCAGUUUUUGUUUUAACGGUAUAACAAAAUCAGUGGUUUGGUUUCUAUUGUUUAUUGUAGCGGCACCGAUGAUUUUUUCUAUGCGUGUUGUUGCCACUUGUAUUGUCUAGGAAUACAUGGAAACUCAAAACCAUGUUUAGAGACCGUGGUUUCUAUUUGCUCAACCAAUUUAGCAAUCAUAAAGGAUCUAUCCCUAUAAUAUGAAGUUCGCCUAAGAAAAAUAUAAAGUUC
RNAcentral lists this long non-coding RNA (1433 nucleotides) under Medicago truncatula (barrel medic). Its description in RNAcentral is "long non-coding RNA (MTRU_LNC005417)". The record is from RNAcentral. Lineage: Eukaryota; Viridiplantae; Streptophyta; Magnoliopsida; Fabales; Fabaceae.